CCUACGGGAGGCAGCAGUGGGGAAUAUUGCACAAUGGGGGAAACCCUGAUGCAGCGACGCCGCGUGAGUGAAGAAGUAUUUCGGUAUGUAAAGCUCUAUCAGCAGGGAAGAAAAUGACGGUACCUGGUUAAGAAGCCCCGGCUAACUACGUGCCAGCAGCCGCAGUAAUACGUAGGGGGCAAGCGUAGUCCGGAUUUACUGGGAGUAAAGGGAGCGUAGACGGCGUCACAAGACUGGAGUGAAAUGGCGGGGCUUAACCCCGGAACUGCUGUGUAAGCUGUGCAUCUAGAGUGCAGGAGAGGUAAGUGGAAUUCCUAGUGUAGCGGUGAGAUGCGUAGAUAUUAGGAACACCAGUGGCGAAGGCGGCUUACUGGACUGUAACUGACGUUGAGGCUCGAAAGCGUGGGGAGCAAACAGGAUUAGAUACCCUAGUAGUC
Molecule: ribosomal RNA, 437 nt
Filed under: uncultured bacterium
Lineage: Bacteria
Description: partial 16S ribosomal RNA
Rfam family: Bacterial small subunit ribosomal RNA
Source: RNAcentral